Molecule: non-coding RNA, 77 nt
Organism: Podarcis lilfordi (Lilford's wall lizard)
Lineage: Eukaryota; Metazoa; Chordata; Lepidosauria; Squamata; Lacertidae
Source: the annotation of a GenBank genome assembly
GGAGAAGGGCCCAAGUUCAGUGGUCAGGGAUCUGUCUUACAUGCAGAAGGUCCAAGGUUCAAUCCCAAGCAUCUCCA